Molecule: ribosomal RNA, 305 nt
Filed under: uncultured bacterium
Lineage: Bacteria
Description: bacterial SSU rRNA
Rfam family: Bacterial small subunit ribosomal RNA
Source: RNAcentral
GCCUACGGGGGGCAGCAGUGGGGAAUAUUGCGCAAUGGGCGAAAGCCUGACGCAGCGACGCCGCGUGAGGGACGAAGGUCUUCGGAUCGUAAACCUCUGUCAGCAGGGAAGAACGGUCACUGUGCUAAUCAGCAGUGAAUUGACGGUACCUGCAAAGGAAGCACCGGCUAACUCCGUGCCAGCAGCCGCGGUAAUUCGGAGGGUGCGAGCGUUAAUCGGAAUUACUGGGCGUAAAGCGCUCGUAGGCGGUAUGUCAAGUCAAGGGUGAAAUCCCCGCGCUCAACGUGGGAACUGCCUUUGAAACU